UUUCCGUAGGUGAACCUGCGGAAGGAUCAUUAUUGGAUUUUGAAACUUCAGGCUGCUGCUGGCUCUCUUCGGAGGGCAUGUGCACGCUUGUUGUCCAUUAUUUCUCCCACUGUGCACAAAUUGUAAACCUUUCAGUAGGCCUAUGUUGUUUUUCACAAUCUCUGAAUGUAAUAGAAUGGUUUUGAAUCUUGGGAAAUACAAUACAACUUUCAGCAACGGAUCUCUUGGCUCUC
This 233-nucleotide unclassified non-coding RNA is filed under the name plant metagenome. Its description in RNAcentral is "partial contains small subunit ribosomal RNA, internal transcribed spacer 1, and 5.8S ribosomal RNA". The record is from RNAcentral.